RNAcentral lists this long non-coding RNA (327 nucleotides) under Elaeis guineensis (African oil palm). RNAcentral's name for it is "long non-coding RNA (EGUI_LNC007463)". The record is from RNAcentral. Lineage: Eukaryota; Viridiplantae; Streptophyta; Magnoliopsida; Arecales; Arecaceae.
UCGGCCAAUAAAAUCCACUCUGCAACACCUUUGCUGAAGUUUUUCUUCCACUAAAAUAUCCCCCACAUGCUAGUGAGUGGCAGAAGUUAAGAAUACUUUGGACUUCACACUCGAGGAUACAACGUCGGAUUACUUGAUCUGGACAAUAUUUGAACAACUCUGGUUCUUCCCAGAAAUAGUACUUUACUUGAAAGAAAAAUCUAUUUUUUUCUUAUUGGGUCCAAUGUGAUGGUAUUUGUCCCACAGCCAAGUAAUUGACUAUAUGAGCGAACCAGGGAAGACCAAUGGAAGACAUUGAAAAGAGUUGUUCAUCCGAAAAUCUAUCUC